RNAcentral lists this ribosomal RNA (468 nucleotides) under uncultured bacterium. RNAcentral describes it as "partial 16S ribosomal RNA". It matches the Rfam family "Bacterial small subunit ribosomal RNA", at positions 28 to 507 of the family's 1533-position model. The record is from RNAcentral.
GACGAACGCUGUCGGCGUGCUUAACACAUGCAAGUCGAACGGAAAGGCCCUGCUUUUGUGGGGUGCUCGAGUGGCGAACGGGUGAGUAACACGUGAGUAACCUGCCCUUGACUUUGGGAUAACUUCAGGAAACUGGGGCUAAUACCGGAUAGGAGCUCCUGCUGCAUGGUGGGGGUUGGAAAGUUUCGGCGGUUGGGGAUGGACUCGCGGCUUAUCAGCUUGUUGGUGGGGUAGUGGCUUACCAAGGCUUUGACGGGUGGCCGGCCUGAGAGGGUGACCGGCCACAUUGGGACUGAGAUACGGCCCAGACUCCUACGGUAGGCAGCAGUGGGGAAUAUUGCACAAUGGGCGGAAGCCUGAUGCAGCAACGCCGCGUGCGGGAUGACGGCCUUCGGGUUGUAAACCGCUUUCGCCUGUGACGAAGCGUGAGUGACGGUAAUGGGUAAAGAAGCACCGGCUAACUACGUG